UACGAAGGGGGCUAGCGUUGUUCGGAAUUACUGGGCGUAAAGCGCAUGUAGGCGGCUUAUUAAGUCCGAUGUGAAAGCCCAAGGCUCAACCUUGGAAUUGCAUCGGAUACUGGCAAGCUAGAAUCCGGGAGAGGAUAGUAGAAUUUUCAGUGUAGAGGUGAAAUUCGUAGAUAUUGAAAAGAAUACCAGUGGCGAAGGCGGCUAUCUGGACCGGUAUUGACGCUAAGAUGCGAAAGUGUGGGGAGCAAAC
RNAcentral lists this ribosomal RNA (250 nucleotides) under uncultured bacterium. Its description in RNAcentral is "partial 16S ribosomal RNA". It matches the Rfam family "Bacterial small subunit ribosomal RNA", at positions 524 to 773 of the family's 1533-position model. The record is from RNAcentral.